GGCCGCAGCUGGAGCGCGGCGGGGCGCGGGCAGCCUGCGCUGCCGGCUAUGUUUGGAAACUUGAACGCCAGAUCGCGCCCUCACCCUCCUCCCGGCCGCGCUGCCGGCCCCCCGCCGCGGCUCCGCGGCCAGGGCGCGCAUGCACAGUCGUCGUGGUGGUGGGUGUGAUCCCAGUGACAGAAUGACACAGUUUUUGUAAGCCUGUGACUGCAUCAGAAGCUCUUCCACUUUUGAUUUGUUUAAAACAGCCAUGUUUGCCAAGUGUUUAAGGCUGGGCUGGGAAAGAUAGUGCUGUGCAUUGCUCAAGGGUGUAGGAGAGGCCAGGCAGGCAAAUUACUUAAUACAACCUCGGUUCAUGCAAAUAAGCCAAGAAUUCAUUUCGCUGGGAGGAAAACAAAAUAAACCCCCCCGAAGCUUUCCUUCUCCCGCCCGCGAUCCCCGAAGUUGCCCGCUCCCCGCCCGGCCCCGCGGCCACGCCGGUGCCCGUGCUGGCCAGGAGGGGCUCUGCAGAACCCGCUUUUGCUCUCGUUGCAGUCGGCGGCUGUUUUUGCAAACAUCGACAUCGCUGCCUGCGUCCAAAGAAUAAUAAAGUGUCACUGCGGGGACGCGCUUCGGCCGGGACCCGGCGCGGGCGGCCGCCGGCAUCGCGUCACUGGGCGCAGCCGGGCGCACGGUGCCCGCGGAGACAGCGCGCAGCGGGGGAGGGCGGAGGGCGGGGGGGAAGCGGCCGCACGCUCGGCGAACGCGGAACCUCUCCCAGCUGGGCUGUGUUGGGUGGAUUUCUUUCUUUCAGUACCUCUUCCUGAUUCCUUUGUUGCUACAAACGCCGAAAUCCCCGUCCAUUGCAGGUUUCUCUCUGUGUUUUAAAAGAACUUAGUGUUUCUAUGGCGGGGUGCCACGGCUCCCUUACACCGGCACGCUCAGCAAACAUGCAGCCCCGACGGAGAUAGACACCUUCUAUUCGAUUAAUAACGUUUUGGAACUCACAUGACAAAAACCCGUCCCUUUAAAUAUUUCAUUUCAUAUCACCAAUAUGUGUCAUUUUCAUUUUUAGUUGUCUAAAGCAUUUUUUAUGUGUCCGGGUCUAGUCUUUAAAGCUGGCAAAUGAAUUUGAUUAUAUGUGUGUGGAAUUAUUUUAUAGGGAAGGCUUAAUGAAAUGCACACAUUGAUUGAAGUUACAGAAAUGGUAGGACCAGAUAAAAUACAGUUAGAAAAUCAAUUGUGACAAAGUGACUCUUUUUCAGGGGAAGCUUGUAGAAGUAGUAAGUAGAGAUAGAAAUGUCUUUGAAUUAUGUGAGUCUCCUGUACAUAAAUUGGCUGAAGAAGAUGCGCUAAAGGGGAGUAGAUUUCACACUUAAAAAUUUCACACCUAAGCUGUGGACAUUACAAAAGCUUCACAGAAGUAUGGCAGAUGAAAGCUGGUCAAAGUAAAAGUCUUUGCUUCCAGCCACAGUGAUUUAGUGAUGGCUGCAGGAUUUCUACAUUAAUAUGUCUUUCCUUCACCAAAUAAGCAUGUGUUCCCUCUGAUUCAUACUGGAAUGUCAGUUCCUUUCCUAUCCUUUUACUGCCUCGCGUUGAUCUUCAUAUGAGGAGCAGAACUGGGCUGUGAUAAAAGGUCAGCCUCUGCUUUAAAAUCUCUGGUUGAGAGACCUGAAGCUUUCCCUUCAUCCCGCAUGUCUAAGAAUGCAGAACUGCAACAUAUCCUGACUGUAUUUCAGUCCCUGGGUUACACAAAUCCAACCAUGACAAGGCACUCCAUGUGCUUGCACUACCCCUCACCCUGGAUCCUCGACCCACUGAAUCCUCCUGCAAGAAACCCCUUUUUUGGUAAACUCACCUCACAGGAACAGACUUCUUGGCUCAUAAGAGCAGUCUUUAUAGUGGGUGUAAAUAAUAAUCACCUUAGAUAUGAUCUAGCCUUAGAAAACCAUUUACAGGUGCUGUCAACUCCCUUUAUAGUUUGUGAAUAGAAAAAGAGAGAGAUUAGCAUCUGUGACCCGACCAAACUGCCUUUCCUCUUACUUGCAGGAUACACAGUUGCAGAAAUAUGUUUGUCUUUCCAUAAUGAUUAAACUUUGAUUUAAACUUUGGUCAUGGGCACGCACUGUACCGUUACGCAAGCAGCACUUAAGGAUGAAGUGUCAGCACAGCAACAAUAUGGCCAGCAGCAGCAGUGAUCUCUGCAAAGCUGAUUGAUGAAGAGAGCUGCAAUGUAAAUGCAAAUAAAUGCCACGCUGUGGCACCUUCACAGGGAACGACUUGUCAGUAUCAAUCUAAUCUGGGUACGGAAAAAUAGAUUGAACAGUAGCAAUGUAACAAUCUUCCCAUCUAUGGCAGCACUGUCCUUGCGAGGGUAGCAGCAAGCUUUCUCCCUCACCUCCUGCCUUUUCUCUUUGCCAUGCGAGUGAUGAGACAGGAGCAAUCCAGAUUGGUCUUGCUGGAUUUAUACUAAACAUGCCUGGUGUUUAUUUAGCUCUGAAAUAAUCCAGGAAUUAAUAUUACUUUUGGAGGAAGCAAAUAAGAAGCCCCAAACAAUUAAUCCAUUCAGGUGUCUAAUCUGGCUAACUGAAAGAAAGAAGUGAGCAAACAAAAAAUAGCGUAAGAACCCCAAACAGUAGAUUGUUUAGGGAGAUGAAGGGGAGUGCAAGGAGGAAUGGACCUGUGGCUGAGAACAAUUGCUACCCAGCUACUGUUUUCUGUGCAGGAAUACAAGUCAGCACUGUGAUGUGGC
Zonotrichia leucophrys gambelii is the source of this 2731-nucleotide long non-coding RNA. RefSeq lists it as uncharacterized. Lineage: Eukaryota; Metazoa; Chordata; Aves; Passeriformes; Passerellidae. The record is from RefSeq and is a predicted model, not a curated record. The transcript has 3 exons.